This 448-nucleotide ribosomal RNA is filed under the name uncultured bacterium. RNAcentral describes it as "bacterial SSU rRNA". It matches the Rfam family "Bacterial small subunit ribosomal RNA", at positions 329 to 793 of the family's 1533-position model. The record is from RNAcentral.
AUCCAGACUCCUACGGGAGGCAGCAGUGGGGAAUAUUGCACAAUGGGGGAAACCCUGAUGCAGCGACGCCGCGUGAGUGAGGAAGUAUUUCGGUAUGUAAAGCUCUAUCAGCAGGGAAGAAAAUGACGGUACCUGACUAAGAAGCCCCGGCUAACUACGUGCCAGCAGCCGCGGUAAUACGUAGGGGGCGAGCGUUAUCCGGAUUCACUGGGUGUAAAGGGAGCGUAGACGGCCAUACAAGCCAGGGGUGAAAGCCCGGGGCCCAACCCCGGGACUGCCCUUGGAACUGCAUGGCUGGAGUGCGGGAGGGGCAGGCGGAAUUCCUGGUGUAGCGGUGAAAUGCGUAGAUAUCAGGAGGAACACCGGCGGCGAAGGCGGCCUGCUGGACCGCGACUGACGUUGAGGCUCGAAAGCGUGGGGAGCGAACAGGAUUAGAUACCCCAGUACG